This 473-nucleotide ribosomal RNA is filed under the name uncultured bacterium. Its description in RNAcentral is "bacterial SSU rRNA". It matches the Rfam family "Bacterial small subunit ribosomal RNA", at positions 1 to 507 of the family's 1533-position model. The record is from RNAcentral.
GAUCAGUGGCUACAGAACGAACGCUGGCGGCAGGCCUAACACAUGCAAGUCGAACGGGACCUUCGGGUCUAGUGGCGGACGGGUGAGUAACGCGUGGGAACGUGCCCUUUGGUUCGGAAUAGCCUCGGGAAACUGGGAGUAAUACCGGAUACGGUCGAGAGACGAAAGAUUUAUCGCCGAAGGAUCGGCCCGCGUUGGAUUAGGUAGUUGGUGAGGUAAAGGCUCACCAAGGCGACGAUCUGUAGCUGGUCUGAGAGGACGACCAGCCACACUGGGACUGAGACACGGCCCAGACUCCUACGGGAGGCAGCAGUGGGGAAUUUUGGACAAUGGGCGCAAGCCUGAUCCAGCAAUGCCGCGUGCAGGAUGAAGGCCUUCGGGUUGUAAACUGCUUUUGUACGGAACGAAACGGUGAGCUCUAAUACAGCUUGCUAAUGACGGUACCGUAAGAAUAAGCACCGGCUAACUACGUG